GGCCUUUUUGGGCUUGGUGAUUGGAAUGAGGGAGAGUCAAACGGACCAUCGAGUAUCCAUUGGAGGGCAAGUCUGGUGCCAGCAGCUGCGGUAAUACCAGCUCCAAUAGCGUAUAUUAAAGUUGUUGCAGUUAAAAAGCUCGUAGUUGGACUUGUGUGCGCUGUCCGCGGGUGGCCUGCGCCCAAAAGGGCGUUUCGGUUCGGCCCCGGUGGCGCCUUGAAAUCUGCAGCUGGGGGGACGUUGGCCUUAACUGGUCGGCGACCGCACGCCGGCUGCUCGGUUACUGUGAGAAAAUUAGAGUGUUCAAGGCAGGCAUUGGGUGCAAUUGAAUACAUUAGCAUGGAAUAAUAAAAUAUGGCUCCUGCCGUAUUUUGUUGGUUUUGACUGGUGGGAGUAAUGAUUGAUAGGGACGGUUGGGGGUGCUAGUAUUGAGCGGCCAGAGGUGAAAUUCAUGGAUUCGCUCAAGACUAACUUAUGCGAAAGCAUUCACCAAGGACGUCCUCUUUAAUCAAGAACGAAAGUUGGGGGAUCGAAGACGAUCAGAUACCGUCGUAGUCUCAACCAUAAACUAUGUCGACUUGGGAUCGGCGGUAGUUUUUUCAUUAAGACACUGUCGGGACCACGGGAGAAAUCAAAGUGUCUGGACUCUGGGGGAAGUAUGGUCGCAAGGCUGAAACUUGAAGGAAUUGACGGAAGGGCACCACCAGGAGUGGAGCCUGCGGCUUAAUUUGACCCAACACGGGGAAACUUACCAGGUCCAGAGAUAUAGAGGAUUGACAGAUUGAAGCUCUUUCUUGAUCACUUCGGUGGUGGUGCAUGGCCGUUCUUAGUUGGUGGAGUGAUUUGUCUGGUUAAUUCCGUUAACGAACGAGACCUCAGCCUGCUAGUGUAGUCGGCUGGAUUGCCUUUGGCGAUCCGUGAUUUCGACUUCUUAGAGGGACAAUCGACGCGCAGUCGAUGGAAGUUUGAGGCAAUAACAGGUCUGUGAUGCCCUUAGAUGUUCUGGGCCGCACGCGCGCUACACUGCUGGGCUCAGCGAGUUUUAUUUGGCCGAGAGGCCCGGUUAAUCUUGUGAAAUCCCAGCGUGCUUGGGCUCGCCUCCUGCAACUGGAGGCGCCAACGAGGAAUUCCUAGUAGACGCAGGUCAUCAACCUGCAUCGAUUACGUCCCUGCCCUUUGUACACACCGCCCGUCGUUCCAUAAGAGUGAGGCAUCCGGUGAGUUCUCGGGAGAGCCUGGGCGUGGCCAGCAAUGGUCUGCUCGGGUUUGAACUUGCAUAAACUUGGUGCCUAUGAUUAGGG
This 1301-nucleotide ribosomal RNA is filed under the name metagenome. Its description in RNAcentral is "SSU rRNA". It matches the Rfam family "Eukaryotic small subunit ribosomal RNA", at positions 489 to 1783 of the family's 1831-position model. The record is from RNAcentral.